UGGGCAACUCCAGAGGCCAGGUGAUUGU
RNAcentral lists this non-coding RNA (28 nucleotides) under Mus musculus (house mouse). The record is from RNAcentral. Lineage: Eukaryota; Metazoa; Chordata; Mammalia; Rodentia; Muridae.